RNAcentral lists this ribosomal RNA (511 nucleotides) under uncultured bacterium. Its description in RNAcentral is "partial 16S ribosomal RNA". It matches the Rfam family "Bacterial small subunit ribosomal RNA", at positions 899 to 1397 of the family's 1533-position model. The record is from RNAcentral.
ACUCAAAUGAAUAGACGGGGGCUCACACAAGCGGUGGAGCAUGUGGCUUAAUUCGAGGCUACGCGAAGAACCUUACCCAGACUUGACAUAUGCGAAAGCGCUCCGUGGUAGGACCCGGAAACGGGGACGAAUGCCCGCAAGGGUAGAGCGGAGCACAGGUGCUGCAUGGCUGUCGUCAGCUCGUGUCGUGAGAUGUCGGGUUAAGUCCCAUAACGAGCGAAACCCUUACCAUCAGUUGCCAAUUACGGGACUCUGGUGGGACUGCCGGUGUUAAACCGGAGGAAGGUGGGGAUGACGUCAAGUCCUCAUGGCCUUUAUGUCUGGGGCUGCACACGUGCUACAAUGGCGUGAACAAAGGGACGCGAAACCGCGAGGUCAAGCAAAUCCCAAAAAACACGCCUCAGUUCAGAUCGCAGGCUGCAACCCGCCUGCGUGAAGUUGGAAUCGCUAGUAAUCGCGGGUCAGCAACACCGCGGUGAAUGUGUUCCUGAGCCUUGCACACACCGCCCGU